RNAcentral lists this unclassified non-coding RNA (254 nucleotides) under uncultured bacterium. RNAcentral's name for it is "contains 16S-23S intergenic spacer region". It matches the Rfam family "Bacterial small subunit ribosomal RNA", at positions 524 to 776 of the family's 1533-position model. The record is from RNAcentral.
CACGUGGGGCGCAAGCGUUGCUCGGAUUCACUGGGCGUAAAGGGCGUCUAGGCGGCUUUUCAAGUCGCGUGUGAAAUCUCCACGGCUCAACCGGGAAAUUGCACGCGAUACUGUCAAGCUUGAGUGCGGUAGAGGGAAGCGGAAUUCAAGGUGUAGCGGUGAAAUGCGCAGAUAUCUUGGAGAACACCGAUGGCGUAAGCAGCUUCCUGGGCCUGCACUGACGCUGAAGCGCGAAAGCGUGGGUAGCAAACAGG